UACGGAAGGCAGCAGUGGGGAAUAUUGCACAAUGGGCGAAAGCCUGAUGCAGCUAUGCCGCGUGUAUGAAGAAGGCCUUAGGGUUGUAAAGUACUUUCAUCGGGGAGGAAAAACAAAACUAAUAAUUUUAUUUCUUGACGUUACCCGAAAAAGAAGCACCGGCUAACUCCGUGCCAGCAGCCGCGGUAAUACGGAGGGUGCUAGCGUUAAUCAGAAUUACUGGGCGUAAAGAGCACGUAGGUGGUUUUUUUAAAGUCAGAUGUGAAAUCCCUGGGCUUAACCUAGGAAACUGCAUUUUGAAACUGAAAUACUAGAGUAUCGUAGAGGGAGGUAGAAUUCUAGGUGUAGCGGUGAAAUGCGUAGAUAUCUGGAGGAAUACCUGUGGCGAAAGCGGCCUCCUAAACGAAUACUGACACUGAGGGUGCGAAAAGCGUGGGGAAGCAAAACAGGGAUUAGAUACC
This 461-nucleotide ribosomal RNA is filed under the name uncultured bacterium. RNAcentral's name for it is "bacterial SSU rRNA". It matches the Rfam family "Bacterial small subunit ribosomal RNA", at positions 340 to 786 of the family's 1533-position model. The record is from RNAcentral.